Molecule: ribosomal RNA, 373 nt
Filed under: uncultured bacterium
Lineage: Bacteria
Description: bacterial SSU rRNA
Rfam family: Bacterial small subunit ribosomal RNA
Source: RNAcentral
GACGAACGCUGGCGGCGUGCUUAACACAUGCAAGUCGAGGGGGUUCGUGGGGCAACUCACGGAUCACCGGCGAAACGGGUGCGUAACGACGUGAGCGACCUGCCGUACCUGUGGGGAUAGCCGGCCCAACGGCCGGGUAAUACCGCAUACGCUUGUCUUGGGGCAUCCUGGGACAAAGAAGCUCUGGGGGGCAACCCUGGGGCGCAGGACGAGGGGCUCGCGGCCUAUCAGCUAGUUGGCGGGGAACGGCCCACCAAGGCGGUGACGGGUAGCUGGGUCUGAGAGGAUGGCCAGCCACAUUGGGACUGAGAGACGGCCAGACUCCGUACGGGAGGCAGCGAGGUGGGGAAUCUUGCGCAAUGGCCUAACGGCU